AGCGGCGGACGGGUGAGUAAUGUCUGGGAAACUGCCUGAUGGAGGGGGAUAACUACUGGAAACGGUAGCUAAUACCGCAUAAUGUCGCAAGACCAAAGAGGGGGACCUUCGGGCCUCUUGCCAUCAGAUGUGCCCAGAUGGGAUUAGCUAGUAGGUGGGGUAACGGCUCACCUAGGCGACGAUCCCUAGCUGGUCUGAGAGGAUGACCAGCCACACUGGAACUGAGACACGGUCCAGACUCCUACGGGAGGCAGCAGUGGGGAAUAUUGCACAAUGGGCGCAAGCCUGAUGCAGCCAUGCCGCGUGUAUGAAGAAGGCCUUCGGGUUGUAAAGUACUUUCAGCGGGGAGGAAGGUGUUGAGGUUAAUAACCUCAGCAAUUGACGUUACCCGCAGAAGAAGCACCGGCUAACUCCGUGCCAGCAGCCGCGGUAAUACGGAGGGUGCAAGCGUUAAUCGGAAUUACUGGGCGUAAAGCGCACGCAGGCGGUCUGUCAAGUCGGAUGUGAAAUCCCCGGGCUCAACCUGGGAACUGCAUUCGAAACUGGCAGGCUAGAGUCUUGUAGAGGGGGGUAGAAUUCCAGGUGUAGCGGUGAAAUGCGUAGAGAUCUGGAGGAAUACCGGUGGCGAAGGCGGCCCCCUGGACAAAGACUGACGCUCAGGUGCGAAAGCGUGGGGAGCAAACAGGAUUAGAUACCCUGGUAGUCCACGCCGUAAACGAUGUCGACUUGGAGGUUGUGCCCUUGAGGCGUGGCUUCCGGAGCUAACGCGUUAAGUCGACCGCCUGGGGAGUACGGCCGCAAGGUUAAAACUCAAAUGAAUUGACGGGGGCCCGCACAAGCGGUGGAGCAUGUGGUUUAAUUCGAUGCAACGCGAAGAACCUUACCUACUCUUGACAUCCAGAGAACUUUCCAGAGAUGGAUUGGUGCCUUCGGGAACUCUGAGACAGGUGCUGCAUGGCUGUCGUCAGCUCGUGUUGUGAAAUGUUGGGUUAAGUCCCGCAACGAGCGCAACCCUUAUCCUUUGUUGCCAGCGGUUAGGCCGGGAACUCAAAGGAGACUGCCAGUGAUAAACUGGAGGAAGGUGGGGAUGACGUCAAGUCAUCAUGGCCCUUACGAGUAGGGCUACACACGUGCUACAAUGGCGCAUACAAAGAGAAGCGACCUCGCGAGAGCAAGCGGACCUCAUAAAGUGCGUCGUAGUCCGGAUUGGAGUCUGCAACUCGACUCCAUGAAGUCGGAAUCGCUAGUAAUCGUAGAUCAGAAUGCUACGGUGAAUACGUUCCCGGGCCUUGUACACACCGCCCGUCACACCAUGGGAGUGGGUUGCAAAAGAAGUAGGUAGCUUAACCUUCGGGAGGGCGCUUACCACUUUGUGAUUCAUGACUGGGGUGAAGUCGUAACAAGGUAACCGUAGGGGAACCUGCGGUUGGAUCACCUCCUU
Molecule: ribosomal RNA, 1441 nt
Filed under: Enterobacter sp.
Lineage: Bacteria; Pseudomonadati; Pseudomonadota; Gammaproteobacteria; Enterobacterales; Enterobacteriaceae
Description: partial 16S ribosomal RNA
Rfam family: Bacterial small subunit ribosomal RNA
Source: RNAcentral